AUGGUUGAUCAACGAUUAAGAAUCGUUCUUGGGUUAAAUGAUCAAUACGAUUGAUAUUUAACCCAGUGCAAGUGUUGCAGGAGGAUCGAUUAGCAAUUCGAUUGCUAAUUGGCUUAAUUUGAUUAAGCCAAUGGGCUGAUAUUAAGUCUAAUUAAAUAUGAUUUAAUUAGAUAUGGUUUGGGCUUGAUUGGAUCAAGUCCAAUUGGAUUAUUGGAUAAGCCAAGUGC
This 227-nucleotide long non-coding RNA is filed under the name Elaeis guineensis (African oil palm). RNAcentral's name for it is "long non-coding RNA (EGUI_LNC050920)". Lineage: Eukaryota; Viridiplantae; Streptophyta; Magnoliopsida; Arecales; Arecaceae. The record is from RNAcentral.